This is a long non-coding RNA of Monodelphis domestica (gray short-tailed opossum), 1190 nucleotides long. The record is from Ensembl. Lineage: Eukaryota; Metazoa; Chordata; Mammalia; Didelphimorphia; Didelphidae.
AAUUUUGUCUUUUAAUAAACUAUGUUCUUAUUUUAUUUCAUGUUUCUGUUUCCAGAUGAUCUAUUUUGCUUUUGUAAGUUCUUUUCCCCAAUUUUCUUCAGUUUCUCUUAAUUGUUUUUUAAGUUUUCAGUUCUUCCAUAUCCUGGGUCCAAUUUGCUGAAGUUUCUGAGUUUUUGCUUGGUGUUCCUUGGUCUUCCUCUGUUCCAUUUGUUCUUUGAUCAUUACCUAAAUAGAUGCUGUUGAUUAUAAUUUCUUUUUUUCUUUUUCUGUUGUUUACUCAUAUUUUUCCCUCUUUUCCCCUCUUUAUUGGUUCUGUUCUUGCUCCUCUGUUUAUUUGCUGUAUCUGUGAGUUUGGGCUUUUCUGCCCUAAAGGGGCUUCUUCACUGCUCUGCUGAUUAACUGGAUUAGGCUGAUGGAGCUGACCUGUUGUAUUAAUGUGUCCUGAGGCCAGAUCUUCCCCAGCCACUAGCAGAGGCUGAGGGAGAAAGUGAAGUUGUGGAGCCUGAAGGUAGUUACCCUUCCUCCUCCUCUCUACUCCUUCUACCUGCUACCUCCCUGCCAGCUGCCUAGACAGAGCCCUGUGCUUCCCAUGGUGGAAUCAAGAUAUUCUGUUGUAGUUGCAGCCUUCACCCUGGCAUCUCAGUCAGCUGGAUUCAGUGCAGUAGGUGGGGGAGGGGUGUUGGAUCUUUCCCUUAUACCUGAUAAUUCAACUUUAUCUGUGUAAAUUUCAUAUGGGAUUGAGUAGGAGAGACCUGUGGCUCUGUUUUGUUGAGUUUGGCUUUCUGUCUAUUUUGCAGUUGGGCUUUUCUGCCUUCUUGAGGCUUUUUUGCACUCUUAAUAAACUGGAUUAAGCCUCUGUUGAGCUGAUCUGCAAACUGCAUGUGCCAUGAGUCCAAACCUUCCAGAGGCGGAGACCAAAGAUGGAGGAGUGGUGGCUGAAGGGUGUGACUGGGAUGCACUCCUCUCUGCCUCUUUCUUCCAGAUGCCUUCUUGACAGCUGUGGUCAGAGUCCUGAGCCUGAAGUAGCUGUGGUAGCAAGGCCAGACUGGAGUCCUCAUCCCAAGAUCCCAGCAACCCCUCCAAUCUCAGCAUAACUCUUGCUACCUUGUGAAGUCAUUUGCUUCUAGUUGUUGGAUUCUAAUUUUUGAAGACUGAAUUUCAUCCCUGGCUUUUUGGUCAUCCUCCUUCUG